UUGACCGCCUAUAUCUCGAUCCGACUUAAGCUUUUUCCAAUGCGUACUAACGAUGGAUCUAAGCCGCAGACCGAAAAUAAAACUUAGAAAAAUAUUCUAAAAAGAAUAAAAGAGUAAGGGCGGAACUACUUACCUAUUACCCGAGUAACUCGACUCUCGACUACCUGACCAAUGCUCCCGACGACCACGACUUCUCCGAGAAGCUUCACGACCUAACUAGUCUAAAUGUGAUUUUUUCGUGGUUUAGAGAGCAAAUGGCGAGAUGGGCUAUUUAUACGGGUGGGAAAACAUGGGGAGCAAGCAACGGAAGCACGAGGGUGCCAACACACGCACAACACACGCCAAGCUUGUGACAGAGCUACUUCCACCACAAGCACCUCCAUGACAUGGCCGCAAAAUCCCGCAAACACCUAUACAGCCAAAUCGGAACCAUACAAGUUUAUGAUUAAUUUUACGACCAAAAUUCAAGUAAGGUGACAUGUCCUCGGCCACUUACUCUAUUGA
This is a long non-coding RNA of Arabidopsis thaliana (thale cress), 504 nucleotides long. RefSeq annotates it as other RNA. Lineage: Eukaryota; Viridiplantae; Streptophyta; Magnoliopsida; Brassicales; Brassicaceae. The record is from RefSeq. The transcript is spliced from 2 exons.